UACGUAGGGACCAAGCGUUGUUCGGAGUUACUGGGCGUAAAGGGCGCGUAGGCGGCAUGACAAGUCACUUGUGAAAUCUUCGGGCUUAACCCGGAACGGCCAAGUGAUACUGUCGCGCUAGAGUGCAGAAGGGGCAAUCGGAAUUCUCGGUGUAGCGGUGAAAUGCGUAGAUAUCGAGAGGAACACCAGAGGUGAAGACGGGUUGCUGGGCUGACACUGACGCUGAGGCGCGAAAGCCAGGGGAGCAAACGGG
RNAcentral lists this ribosomal RNA (253 nucleotides) under uncultured bacterium. RNAcentral describes it as "partial 16S ribosomal RNA". It matches the Rfam family "Bacterial small subunit ribosomal RNA", at positions 524 to 776 of the family's 1533-position model. The record is from RNAcentral.